Molecule: transfer RNA, 76 nt
Filed under: Methylotenera sp.
Lineage: Bacteria; Pseudomonadati; Pseudomonadota; Betaproteobacteria; Nitrosomonadales; Methylophilaceae
Description: tRNA-Glu
Rfam family: tRNA
About the family: Transfer RNA (tRNA) molecules are approximately 80 nucleotides in length. Their secondary structure includes four short double-helical elements and three loops (D, anti-codon, and T loops).
Source: RNAcentral
AUUCUCGUCGUCUAAUGGUUAGGAUGCCUGCCUUUCAAGCAGGAAGAUGUCGGUUCGAAUCCGAUCGGGAAUACAA